UGGGGAAUAUUGCACAAUGGAGGGAACUCUGAUGCAGCGACGCCGCGUGAACGAAGUAGGCUUUCGAGUCGUAAAGUUCUUUUAUAUGGGAAGAUAAUGACGGUACCAUAAGAAAAAGCCCCGGCUAACUACGUGCCAGCAGCCGCGGUAAUACGUAGGGGGCUAGCGUUGUCCGGAAUCACUGGGCGUAAAGGGUUCGCAGGCGGAAAUGCAAGUCAGGUGUAAAAGGCAGUAGCUUAACUACUGUAAGCAUUUGAAACUGCAUAUCUUGAGAAGAGUAGAGGUAAGUGGAAUUUUUAGUGUAGCGGUGAAAUGCGUAGAUAUUAAAAAGAAUACCGGUGGCGAAGGCGACUUACUGGGCUCAUUCUGACGCUGAGGAACGAAAGCGUGGGUAGCAAACAGG
RNAcentral lists this ribosomal RNA (403 nucleotides) under Fusobacteriota bacterium. RNAcentral's name for it is "Fusobacteria bacterium partial 16S ribosomal RNA". It matches the Rfam family "Bacterial small subunit ribosomal RNA", at positions 355 to 776 of the family's 1533-position model. Lineage: Bacteria; Fusobacteriati; Fusobacteriota. The record is from RNAcentral.